RNAcentral lists this ribosomal RNA (253 nucleotides) under uncultured bacterium. Its description in RNAcentral is "partial 16S ribosomal RNA". It matches the Rfam family "Bacterial small subunit ribosomal RNA", at positions 524 to 776 of the family's 1533-position model. The record is from RNAcentral.
UACGUAGGGUGCGAGCGUUAAUCGGAAUUACUGGGCGUAAAGCGUGCGCAGGCGGUUUUGUAAGCCAGAUGUGAAAUCCCCGGGCUUAACCUGGGAAUGGCAUUUGGGACUGCAAGGCUUGAGUGCGGCAGAGGAGACUGGAAUUCCUGGUGUAGCAGUGAAAUGCGUAGAGAUGUGGAGGAAUACCGAUGGCGAAGGCAGCCCCCUGGGAUAACACUGACGCUCAUGCACGAAAGCGUGGGGAGCAAACAGG